GGUAUGAUGAGUUGAGAUGCAAUAUUUUGUGUGUACACUAUUGUGUAGAAAACUAGUUUUGUACUUUCAUUUGUUUCUCUCCCAUUUGUGCUUUUAUGUACCUAGAUGUCAGUGAUCAUAAUGUAUUGGAUAUUAAUUAUGUGAUGUGUUGUUCUUUAAGAAGUUAUAAAGCUAGGAAUUUUUGGAAAAUCUCAAUAUCUCCAUGUGUGUGUUUUGUGCAUUUCUUACCCGUGCUCCUGGGCCUAGGAUCUUGUGUCAUGUGUGGUUGCACGUUUGGACACAUACUUGUUUGGUAGAAGUUGGAACAACUCAAAAAAUUUGAUCUCUCAGUUUGAUUUUCUGGCGCACACUUGAAGCAUGC
RNAcentral lists this unclassified non-coding RNA (361 nucleotides) under Hevea brasiliensis (rubber tree). Lineage: Eukaryota; Viridiplantae; Streptophyta; Magnoliopsida; Malpighiales; Euphorbiaceae. The record is from RNAcentral.